GGGGUCCAAAGAAAGAAGUUGAGGUAAGCUUUUUUCCUUUUUGUGGUGAUGGUGGCAAGGGUAAUGUAGCAUGUAGAUAAUAGGAAAUAGAUGGGUAUAGGCGAGGGAGUAUGGUGACAGAAAGUAAAAAAAGCUAAACUGAGGUGGUGAUAGAGGCAGAAAUGGUGUACCAAAAAAACUUACCGACUAGGUCCUCUUAUCAAAUUAGGUUAGAGACUUUGAUGCAUUGGGUUGAUUUUAAAGUAUAUCUAAGGGUCAAGAACUAAGGUGGGUAGAAAAUACUAUGGUGAUGCUAUUUUCAAUUCCUUCACUCUUUUAUAGAAUAGAUAGAUGUACACAACUUUAUCAUGCAAAUUUACCCUCUAUUGUGUUUGUAUUUUGUUUCUUCUUCUUUUAUGUAACUUUCAAUCUUUUAUUCAUUUUCUUUUUUGUUUUGGACUUUGCUACUUCAACAAUCUGUUGGCAUCAUUUUUGUUUAGCCUAUAGGAGGCCCGCCCAAACAAGGAGAUGUAGGGGUGUGAUUCCCCCUAACACCGCUCCACCGUAGAGGCAGAGUUCACCGAGAUGAUUAGCAAUAGGCUCCCAAAGCUAAGAGCUUGGUCAUGAAGGAAUAUGACACUGACGAAGAAGUCCUAACUAGAGAAGAAAACACCACGCUCAUAGGCAGUGCCUCUAGCUUAGACAUUGGUAGUGACAUGUGCCAAUGAAGAUUGAUAAACACACAUGAUGCACUCCUACCUGGCGUGCCAAAUGUGGUGGGUUUGU
RNAcentral lists this long non-coding RNA (765 nucleotides) under Sorghum bicolor (sorghum). Its description in RNAcentral is "long non-coding RNA (SBIC_LNC000305)". Lineage: Eukaryota; Viridiplantae; Streptophyta; Magnoliopsida; Poales; Poaceae. The record is from RNAcentral.